GCCAAAGAUGUUUACUGAUUUUCACAUUAAUUGCAUCCGUAUGAAAUUAUUACAUUCAGGAGAUCUCACUUUUAGAGACACUCAGCCCCUGUUUAUAGGUAUUUGGAAUGAUAAAUAACAAAUGAUAAAAAUUUUAGCAUUGUAUUUUUACAAGUUAAUAUUUAGAGACAUGUAAAAGUUCUAGCAUUCUUCCAUAAAGACAGAUUUGCCCAUAUUAAUUGCUCUCCCCCCCUCCAAAUGUAGCUUGCUCUCUCUCAUGCUUGUCCUGCUUGUGCUUGCCGUUGCUGCCGCUAAUGUUGAUGCUGCUCCGGCCGUGGAGUUGAGGUCGAGGGAGGCCAUGCCUAUCCUGGAGGCACUGCCACUGCGGGAACCAGUGUAGUACGAGGAGUCGGUGUAGUGGUCGAGCUCGUCGUGGAAGGUGUGUGAAUCGGACUGGGACAUGAAGUCCCUCGUGCCGGAGCGGUCGCUGUAUCCGUCGCCGUCCAUCUCUGCCCCGGACUGGUGCGUUGCGGGAGAUCGGUGGAAGUCGAGGCUGCCGUGACCUGGUGCGGGGGGCGAAACGAGCGCGAGCGGCGGCUGAGGCGGCUCGGGCGUGAGCGCCUGCAGCGGGGGACAAGGCGGGGGAGGAGGCGGAGCAAGGGAGGAAGAGGUGGCGGAGAUCGGCGGAGGAGGAGGCGGAAGAGGCCAGCGGAUGGGGAUUUUUUUUUUUUGGGUGGGGGGUGGGGGGAGAGGGUGCGGCGGAAGAGAGAGAGCGUGAGCGGGGGUAUAGCGCGUCCGUG
RNAcentral lists this long non-coding RNA (779 nucleotides) under Oryza brachyantha (malo sina). RNAcentral's name for it is "long non-coding RNA (OBRA_LNC003156)". Lineage: Eukaryota; Viridiplantae; Streptophyta; Magnoliopsida; Poales; Poaceae. The record is from RNAcentral.